GAUGAACGCUGGCGGCGUGCCUAAUACAUGCAAGUCGAGCGAACGGACGAGAAGCUUGCUUUUCUGAUGUUAGCGGCGGACGGGUGAGUAACACGUGGAUAACCUACCUAUAAGACUGGGAUAACUUCGGGAAACCGGAGCUAAUACCGGAUAAUAUUUUGAACCGCAUGGUUCAUAAGUGAAAGACGGUCUUGCUGUCACUUAUAGAUGGAUCCGCGCUGCAUUAGCUAGUUGGUAAGGUAACGGCUUACCAAGGCAACGAUGCAUAGCCGGCCUGAGAGGGUGAUCGGCCACACUGGAACUGAGACACGGUCCAGACUCCUACGGGAGGCAGCAGUAGGGAAUCUUCCGCAAUGGGCGAAAGCCUGACGGAGCAACGCCGCGUGAGUGAUGAAGGUCUUCGGAUCGUAAAACUCUGUUAUUAGGGAAGAACAUAUGUGUAAGUAACUGUGCACAUCUUGACGGUACCUAAUCAGAAAGCCACGGCUAACUACGUG
This 497-nucleotide ribosomal RNA is filed under the name uncultured bacterium. RNAcentral describes it as "partial 16S ribosomal RNA". It matches the Rfam family "Bacterial small subunit ribosomal RNA", at positions 28 to 507 of the family's 1533-position model. The record is from RNAcentral.